RNAcentral lists this ribosomal RNA (429 nucleotides) under Pseudomonadota bacterium. RNAcentral's name for it is "Proteobacteria bacterium partial 16S ribosomal RNA". It matches the Rfam family "Bacterial small subunit ribosomal RNA", at positions 355 to 776 of the family's 1533-position model. Lineage: Bacteria; Pseudomonadati; Pseudomonadota. The record is from RNAcentral.
UGGGGAAUAUUGGACAAUGGGCGAAAGCCUGAUCCAGCCAUGCCGCGUGUGUGAAGAAGGUCUUCGGAUUGUAAAGCACUUUCAGUUGGGAGGAAGGGCAGUAAGCGAAUACCUUGCUGUUUUGACGUUACCGACAGAAUAAGCACCGGCUAACUCUGUGCCAGCAGCCGCGGUAAUACAGAGGGUGCAAGCGUUAAUCGGAAUUACUGGGCGUAAAGCGCGCGUAGGUGGUUCGUUAAGUUGAAUGUGAAAGCCCCGGGCUCAACCUGGGAACUGCAUCCAGAACUGGCGAGCUAGAGUAGGGCAGAGGGUGGUGGAAUUUCCUGUGUAGCGGUGAAAUGCGUAGAUAUAGGAAGGAACACCAGUGGCGAAGGCGACCACCUGGGCUCAUACUGACACUGAGGUGCGAAAGCGUGGGGAGCAAACAGG